This 395-nucleotide ribosomal RNA is filed under the name uncultured bacterium. Its description in RNAcentral is "partial 16S ribosomal RNA". It matches the Rfam family "Bacterial small subunit ribosomal RNA", at positions 338 to 730 of the family's 1533-position model. The record is from RNAcentral.
CCUACGGGAGGCAGCAGUGAGGAAUAUUGGUCAAUGGCCGUAAGGCUGAACCAGCCAAGUCGCGUGAAGGAAGAAGGCCCUAUGGUUUGUAAACUUCUUUUAUAGGGGAAUAAAGGUAUCCACGUGUGGAUAUUUGCAUGUACCCUAUGAAUAAGCAUCGGCUAACUCCGUUCCAGCAGCCGCGGUAAUACGGAGGAUGCGAGCGUUAUCCGGAUUUAUUGGGGUUAAAGGGUGCGUAGGUUGUCUUUUAAGUCAGCGGUGAAAGUUUGGGGCUCAACCCUAAAAUUGCCGUUGAAACUGGAAGCCUUGAGUGUGUGUGAGGUAGGCGGAAUGCGUGGUGUAGCGGUGAAAUGCAUAGAUAUCACGCAGAACUCCGAUUGCGAAGGCAGCUUACU